This 484-nucleotide ribosomal RNA is filed under the name uncultured bacterium. Its description in RNAcentral is "partial 16S ribosomal RNA". It matches the Rfam family "Bacterial small subunit ribosomal RNA", at positions 30 to 507 of the family's 1533-position model. The record is from RNAcentral.
AUUGAACGCUGGCGGCAGGCCUAACACAUGCAAGUCGAGCGGAUGAAGGGAGCUUGCUCCUGGAUUCAGCGGCGGACGGGUGAGUAAUGCCUAGGAAUCUGCCUGGUAGUGGGGGAUAACGUCCGGAAACGGGCGCUAAUACCGCAUACGUCCUGAGGGAGAAAGUGGGGGAUCUUCGGACCUCACGCUAUCAGAUGAGCCUAGGUCGGAUUAGCUAGUUGGUGGGGUAAAGGCCUACCAAGGCGACGAUCCGUAACUGGUCUGAGAGGAUGAUCAGUCACACUGGAACUGAGACACGGUCCAGACUCCUACGGGAGGCAGCAGUGGGGAAUAUUGGACAAUGGGCGAAAGCCUGAUCCAGCCAUGCCGCGUGUGUGAAGAAGGUCUUCGGAUUGUCAAGCACUUUAAGUUGGGAGGAAGGGCAGUAAGUUAAUACCUUGCUGUUUUGACGUUACCAACAGAAUAAGCACCGGCUAACUUCGUG